Molecule: long non-coding RNA, 493 nt
Organism: Bubalus bubalis (water buffalo)
Lineage: Eukaryota; Metazoa; Chordata; Mammalia; Artiodactyla; Bovidae
Exons: 3
Source: RefSeq, a predicted model, not a curated record
GAACCAUAAAAAGGUUUUCUUCUGCUGGUGAAACUGGCACACAAAGAACUUCCUUUAAAUAGUUAUUCAAAGGGCACAGGAAGCAGAUGGUUGAGGGUGAGUUCCAACUCAGUGGCUUAGGGAAGAACCCUGGGAAAAUUAAGCUGAGAACUAGGACUGCUGCUGUUUCCUCUUCUGAACUCAGAGGAAUAUCAGACAGAUUAACAGCAACAAGAGAUGUUUGAAACUCUCCAUUGCAUCUUCAUGGCCAUCAGAAACAGAUACAAUCGAAGUGCGUCCAAUGCUGUUGUCAUGACUGAAGAUUUUAAGCAGAGAUUUUAACUGCAGCAGAGGGACCAGACACGAAGCUGUCUGGGAUUCUGAUGCUCAUUCACAUUGGAGGACUGCCUGUUUUCUUCCUGCUAGUAUCUCUGCACUUGUCACUCUCUGGGUCUGGAAAGUCUUGCUUUACCCUCGAGGGUCACCUGGUCAAGCCCAGAAGAUGCUGAUGGAA